Ovis aries (sheep) is the source of this 73-nucleotide transfer RNA. It matches the Rfam family "tRNA". From Rfam's summary of the family: Transfer RNA (tRNA) molecules are approximately 80 nucleotides in length. Their secondary structure includes four short double-helical elements and three loops (D, anti-codon, and T loops). The record is from Rfam. NCBI's taxonomy places the organism in Eukaryota, Metazoa, Chordata, Mammalia, Artiodactyla, Bovidae.
UCCCUGGUGGUCCAGUGGGUAGGACUCUGAGCUUUCACUGCAGGGGGCACAGGUUCGAUCCCUGGUCAGGGAG